AAGUCGAGCGGACCGACGGGAGCUUGCUCCCUUAGGUCAGCGGCGGACGGGUGAGUAACACGUGGGUAACCUGCCUGUAAGACUGGGAUAACUCCGGGAAACCGGGGCUAAUACCGGAUGCUUGAUUGAACCGCAUGGUUCAAUCAUAAAAGGUGGCUUUUAGCUACCACUUACAGAUGGACCCGCGGCGCAUUAGCUAGUUGGUGAGGUAACGGCUCACCAAGGCGACGAUGCGUAGCCGACCUGAGAGGGUGAUCGGCCACACUGGGACUGAAACACGGCCCAGACUCCUACGGGAGGCAGCAGUAGGGAAUCUUCCGCAAUGGACGAAAGUCUGACGGAGCAACGCCGCGUGAGUGAUGAAGGUUUUCGGAUCGUAAAACUCUGUUGUUAGGGAAGAACAAGUACCGUUCGAAUAGGGCGGUACCUUGACGGUACCUAACCAGAAAGCCACGGCUAACUACGUGCCAGCAGCCGCGGUAAUACGUAGGUGGCAAGCGUUGUCCGGAAUUAUUGGGCGUAAAGCGCGCGCAGGCGGUUUCUUAAGUCUGAUGUGAAAGCCCCCGGCUCAACCGGGGAGGGUCAUUGGAAACUGGGGAACUUGAGUGCAGAAGAGGAGAGUGGAAUUCCACGUGUAGCGGUGAAAUGCGUAGAGAUGUGGAGGAACACCAGUGGCGAAGGCGACUCUCUGGUCUGUAACUGACGCUGAGGCGCGAAAGCGUGGGGAGCGAACAGGAUUAGAUACCCUGGUAGUCCACGCCGUAAACGAUGAGUGCUAAGUGUUAGAGGGUUUCCGCCCUUUAGUGCUGCAGCAAACGCAUUAAGCACUCCGCCUGGGGAGUACGGUCGCAAGACUGAAACUCAAAGGAAUUGACGGGGGCCCGCACAAGCGGUGGAGCAUGUGGUUUAAUUCGAAGCAACGCGAAGAACCUUACCAGGUCUUGA
RNAcentral lists this ribosomal RNA (945 nucleotides) under Bacillus licheniformis. Its description in RNAcentral is "bacterial SSU rRNA". It matches the Rfam family "Bacterial small subunit ribosomal RNA", at positions 59 to 984 of the family's 1533-position model. The record is from RNAcentral. Lineage: Bacteria; Bacillati; Bacillota; Bacilli; Caryophanales; Bacillaceae.